This 213-nucleotide long non-coding RNA is filed under the name Theobroma cacao (cacao). RNAcentral's name for it is "long non-coding RNA (TCAC_LNC001881)". The record is from RNAcentral. Lineage: Eukaryota; Viridiplantae; Streptophyta; Magnoliopsida; Malvales; Malvaceae.
UUCACAUUUGUAUUAUGUUAAAAUAGUGACACCCGUUUGCCAACCUAUAAUGGCAUCAGUAAUCAAAUAUACAUAUUUGAUUUUUAACAUAAAUCUUAGUAGUCUAUAUUACUUAUACGUAUACACAAGUAUAAGACUCUUGACCAUUAGCAGAGUGACCGUGGGUGAAGAUACGGCUACUGAGAUGCCAUAGUACCUAUUAAGAAGGCGAGC